Molecule: long non-coding RNA, 409 nt
Organism: Clupea harengus (Atlantic herring)
Lineage: Eukaryota; Metazoa; Chordata; Actinopteri; Clupeiformes; Clupeidae
Source: Ensembl
CCAGGCAGUCAGAGCUGAAGCAUUACCAGCUUUAUUAAUCACUCCAAGCACCAGCACCUGCUUCCACUCAGUCUGGAUUAGGGCCACAUCCCCUACCAUAACAGGCCACAUCCCCUACCAUAACAGGCCACAUCCCCUACCAUAACAGGUCACAUCCCCUACCAUAACAGGGUCACAUCCGCACCAUAACAGGCCACAUCCCCUACCAUAACAGGUCACAUUCGCACCAUAACAGGCCACAUCCAUUCCAGAGUCUGAGUGGUGCUGAUGGAAUGGUAACGGAAAAGCUGAUAGAGCGUGAAAGAAAAGUUGAAACCAAAGUUGAAAGAGAAAAAUGCAGGAGGAGGAUAAAAAGCUGGAAGAACAAAGGAGACUUGAAGCUGUGUGUAUGUGUGUGUGUGAGAGAGAG